RNAcentral lists this ribosomal RNA (497 nucleotides) under uncultured bacterium. RNAcentral's name for it is "partial 16S ribosomal RNA". It matches the Rfam family "Bacterial small subunit ribosomal RNA", at positions 28 to 507 of the family's 1533-position model. The record is from RNAcentral.
GAUGAACGCUGGCGGCGUGCCUAAUACAUGCAAGUCGAGCGAACAGACGAGGAGCUUGCUCCUCUGACGUUAGCGGCGGACGGGUGAGUAACACGUGGAUAACCUACCUAUAAGACUGGGAUAACUUCGGGAAACCGGAGCUAAUACCGGAUAAUAUAUUGAACCGCAUGGUUCAAUAGUGAAAGACGGUUUUGCUGUCACUUAUAGAUGGAUCCGCGCCGCAUUAGCUAGUUGGUAAGGUAACGGCUUACCAAGGCAACGAUGCGUAGCCGACCUGAGAGGGUGAUCGGCCACACUGGAACUGAGACACGGUCCAGACGCCUACGGGAGGCAGCAGUAGGGAAUCUGCCGCAAAGGGCGAAAGCAUGACGGAGCAACGCCGCGUGAGUGAUGAAGGUCUUCGGAUCGUAAAACUCUGUUAUUAGGGAAGAACAAAUGUGUAAGUAACUAUGCACGUCUUGACGGUACCUAAUCAGAAAGCCACGGCUAACUACGUG